This 1153-nucleotide long non-coding RNA is filed under the name Fragaria vesca (wild strawberry). Its description in RNAcentral is "long non-coding RNA (FVES_LNC002043)". The record is from RNAcentral. Lineage: Eukaryota; Viridiplantae; Streptophyta; Magnoliopsida; Rosales; Rosaceae.
CCGAAGUUUACUCUAGGAGGUUGUACAUAAUAAAUACUCGCCCAAUCAGAAUUAAUACUAGUAUCUAGAAUUCUAUAUAUCAAAUGAAGUACUGCUGGUUCUUUAAUAUUGCAGCUGCAAGUUCCACACCUUGUAACUAGGUAGCUUGACAAUCACAUAAUUCACAAGGGAAUGGGAAGGUAGUUGACUCCACCACAGUGCUGCCAUGGAUUUUUUAUUUUUUAUUUAUUUUUAAAUUUUUGGGUUCUUCUUGUUCAGAGGCAGAACUUGAGGAUGAUAUAGCAUUUGGAGGGCUGGAAAGGGUGGACAACCAUUUGAGUGAAACUGGGACUAGCAGGCUUAAGUUUUGUUCUUUCCCCAAACCAAUAUUCUUUUACUCAAAAUGAAGUGGGGAAGUAUGAAGCAUAUAUAACCUCCAUCCAGACUGUGAUUGACUAUUAGGUAUCCAUUAGGGUGUUGCACCAAGAGGUAAACCAUGCUUAGUUUUGACCACCCCAGUGAGCUAGUUGAUGAAAUUGAUCACUUCUGAAAUUUAUAUCUACCAGCAAAAUUGCAUGUUAAUGUGAAUCAGAACCAAGUUGGAAAUUGGGAUAUGGUGUCGGCUGUGAGGAGCAAUAAUGUUUAUUGUUGUUGGUGCUUGAAAACAACAAGCAUAGUGAAUGAGAAGAGAAUCUGGAAAAGCAAAGAUUACAGAAUGACUUCGCUUUUCUGUUACUGAUGUGUUUGGGGGAUUCAGGGAAACCAAAACCUGCUAUAUCAUCAGUUGGAUAGUAGCUGAAUUUUAAAACAUAGAGAGGGAGAUGUCAGGGGGAUAAACAGAUGAAGUGAUGAUAUAUGAAGCACCAACAACAUAAAAGCUGGGAUGAUGUAAUAUGUAUGGCAUGAAUUCUUGGUAUAGAGCUGUGGUUUGUUGGGAUAGAACAAGUUUAUUAUUUUUAAAUCAAUAAAAAUGAAUUGUAGAUGAAGGGUUCAUCAGUUCAUCUUAUCAUUUGCAAAAAUUCCAAAAAGUCACUGCAAAAUCUCAAAUAUUUUUAAUGAUUUUUCAGUGCAGAAGUCUUGGUUCAUCUUACAUGACCAUUAACCUGCCUCCCACAUUAAGAAUGACACCCCUUAAACAGUGCUUCAGUUUCAUAUGUCAAGUUGUUAAUUAGCU